CUCGAUUUUCAAUGAUCAAGGGUUGGGGGUAAAAAUUCCUGGAAACAUUGAUGGAUAUGGUGAAAUUUGGGAGAAAAAACGCGAAAAAGGACUAAAAUGAAGCAAAGUGAAAGUUCAAGGACUAAGUAGCAAAUCAUUCGAAGAUGAGGCGGGCUAUGGAAUGAAGACUCAAGAGUGUUAGAGGUCAACUGGAUGAGGAAAGGAGUCAAAAAAGUGAAAUAUAGCCGAAAUAUUAUCACGUUUCAACUUUCAGGCAAAAAAACUAUGCUUGGGAUUUUUAGUGUCUAAUUGAGACCCAUUUUUGGCAUAGUAAACAUUCGAAUUUGAGAAAGACUAUUUCUAUAAAAACUGUAUAUCUUUGAGUUACCUUCCCAACGCACUUUGAAUCACCUCAAUCGAAGGUCAGAAGAGAAAGUUAUGACUAAAAUAUUGAAAGCUGCCGGAUGGAAAAAUUUAUAUAACCAUGCGGUCGCAUUGUUAUAAUUCCUUGCGGUCACACAAGGCAAUGCAGGGAAAACUAUGUGGUGAAACUUCUAAACCAUGUGGUCGCAUGGUAUAAAAAUGUGACGGAAUCUCAAGUUUCCUAAUUCGACUCAAACACGAUUUGGUAAGGUUUUGGGCCACUUUCUUGACCUAAUUCCAUCCCGAAUAAAUACCAGACGACCUGAAACAUAAGUAGAACGCACUGGGAAGCAUUAUACAGUAUUUUGGAGGAUUUGGAGAGGAAGAACAAUGCGAAAAUAAGGCGAUCCACUUCUAGAUUCAAGAUUCCACAUCCAGAAUCAAUUGGGUGAUGUUCUUCCUUGGUUUUAAUCGUUGUUUUUCUUUAUCUCCUAUUAUGUUAGGUUAGAUUUUUAUGUACUAGAAGAUCUAUGUACCAUGUGAUUUGAUUUUUAAUUUUCUAGUUUUACAAUUUGACAUUAAAAACACGUUUUGAUUGUUUUGAAUGAUUUAUAUGCGAUUAUUAUUUUCCACAAUUAAGGGCCCAUAAUUGUGUGAGUUUGGGUGACUUAUUCUUGCAUUCGAGAGAAUUGGAAUAGGUUCGACAUAAUAUAAAUCAUCGUAGAGUCCGAUAGAGGAUAAAAAUAUACCGCUAUUCCUUACGUGAAUCUUUAAGUGUUCGCAAAACCGUAUGCAUUUUUAUGUAUGCACUUGUUGUAGAAAUAUAGACUAGUGGUAUGUAAAACUAGGUUCAAUACAUCUCGACAGAGAGUAUUGGAUAGAUUUAGGAGCAAUGAUUCGUCAACAAUUUAAUCGUGUUGUAAUACUAUGAAACUAGGGUUUAAAAUGAUAAUUGUAUGAAAAAUCGUGAUCCUAGUGAGCUUGAUUUUCAUUGAAUGCAACAAACAUGCUUUCUCAACCUUUGAUUUCAUUCUACAGUGUUAAAAUUUUGUCUUGCAUAUAAAAUUCAUUUCAAUCAUAAAAAUUGCAUAAAUUAGGGUUUUCUUUCCAAUUUUAGUGUUUUAAUUAGGUCCACAUUCAUUUUAGUAAUUUAGUUCGGUUAAGACUACAAUAGAUAAAAUUGAACUAAUCAAUCUCUGUGGGACGAUAUUCGGACUCAAUUGAUCCAACACUUACGGUAGUUUAAAUCGAAAGAAAUAUUUCGUGAACAACUAGUAAAUUCAUAUGUGAGAUAAACUUGAUAAUGGUUGGUUGGUUGGGAUAUUUUGGUGUAGGCAGGGGUUAACAAGGUAGCACAGCUAAUUGGUGCGACUUUGGCUCCAAAGGGAAGGAAUGUCGUAUUGCAAAACAAGAAUGGACCUCCCAAGAUUGUCAAUGAUGGUGAAAUUGUUCUUAAAGAGGGCUUAUCCUGGCAAGAAGUAUCAGAGAAAAGUUCUAAAGAGAAUCUCCAAGGCUGAGAGAGAGAAAUCAAAGUGCGAACAUCUGAAUGAAAUCUUUCUUUCUUUAUCUAAUGAUUUAGAUUCAAUGGUAAGGCCUCUGUAUUGGAUGGAGCGAUUUGUAUGGUGAAGAACACGCUAGAUGAGAUCAACUGUCUGAAAAGAAAAUGCUGCUUGCUGUCUGAAUCUCAAUAUCAUGGAGAAAACGUAACUACAAGAUGAGAAUUCGGCUCUAGAGGCUCAAAUUGGGAAACUGCAAUGUGAACUCAAGGAGAGGGUCUGGUCCGCAACUCGACCUGAAUGUGAACUUCAAGAACUGGAAUCGCAUAUUGGUGAUGAUCAUCAUCAUAGAUUGCCUUGUGUAGAACCAGUUGUUAAUUCUUUUGUAUCUUGUCCCUAUCCGCUAAAAUACUCGAGCUUAUCAAGAGCCUGCUACGGCAGAACUUGCAGGUAUGCCUAACCACAUCCUAGAUAUCCUACUGCAGCAGACGUAUGGCCAUCCGAUUUCUUGAGGAACCCUGCUAUGGUGACAGGUCGGUGCCUGAUCCCUCACAAGGGGGUCGGGCCCCACAAUUUUUGGGAAUAUUUUUUUCGCACCGGGCCCAUGCUAUAGUGAGGGGUCGGGCACCAUUCGGUCACCAACCCCCCUGGCCAUCCGGAAUUACCCUUUCUUGAAAAUCAACUGAAGUUAGGCGUGGAAUUUGGAUAAAAGUGGAUGUAGAGGACAGCAGGAGGAAGGCUUUUGACAAUGGAAACUAUAUCAAUUUUUGUUUUUUUUUUUUUUGGAAAAUGUAUUGGAUUUUUAGGCAUUUUAGAAUUUUGGAUUUGGAUUUUGUAAGGAUAUUGUUACAUUUUAGAGUUCAAUUAAUAAUGAUUAUUGGAGUUAUUUGA
This is a long non-coding RNA of Olea europaea var. sylvestris, 2729 nucleotides long. RefSeq lists it as uncharacterized. The record is from RefSeq and is a predicted model, not a curated record. Lineage: Eukaryota; Viridiplantae; Streptophyta; Magnoliopsida; Lamiales; Oleaceae. The transcript has 5 exons.